UUAAGCGACUAAGCGUACACGGUGGAUGCCCUGGCAGUCAGAGGCGAUGAAGGACGUGCUAAUCUGCGAUAAGCGUCGGUGAGGUGAUAUGAACCGUUAUAACCGGCGAUUUCCGAAUGGGGAAACCCAGUGUGUUUCGACACACUAUCAUUAACUGAAUCCAUAGGUUAAUGAGGCGAACCGGGGGAACUGAAACAUCUAAGUACCCCGAGGAAAAGAAAUCAACCGAGAUUCCCCCAGUAGCGGCGAGCGAACGGGGAGGAGCCCAGAGCCUGAAUCAGUGUGUGUGUUAGUGGAAGCGUCUGGAAAGGCGCGCGAUACAGGGUGACAGCCCCGUACACAAAAAUGCACAUAUUGUGAGCUCGAUGAGUAGGGCGGGACACGUGGUAUCCUGUCUGAAUAUGGGGGGACCAUCCUCCAAGGCUAAAUACUCCUGACUGACCGAUAGUGAACCAGUACCGUGAGGGAAAGGCGAAAAGAACCCCGGCGAGGGGAGUGAAAAAGAACCUGAAACCGUGUACGUACAAGCAGUGGGAGCCUCUUAAUGGGGUGACUGCGUACCUUUUGUAUAAUGGGUCAGCGACUUAUAUUCUGUAGCAAGGUUAACCGAAUAGGGGAGCCGAAGGGAAACCGAGUCUUAACUGGGCGUUAAGUUGCAGGGUAUAGACCCGAAACCCGGUGAUCUAGCCAUGGGCAGGUUGAAGGUUGGGUAACACUAACUGGAGGACCGAACCGACUAAUGUUGAAAAAUUAGCGGAUGACUUGUGGCUGGGGGUGAAAGGCCAAUCAAACCGGGAGAUAGCUGGUUCUCCCCGAAAGCUAUUUAGGUAGCGCCUCGUGAAUUCAUCUCCGGGGGUAGAGCACUGUUUCGGCAAGGGGGUCAUCCCGACUUACCAACCCGAUGCAAACUGCGAAUACCGGAGAAUGUUAUCACGGGAGACACACGGCGGGUGCUAACGUCCGUCGUGAAGAGGGAAACAACCCAGACCGCCAGCUAAGGUCCCAAAGUCAUGGUUAAGUGGGAAACGAUGUGGGAAGGCCCAGACAGCCAGGAUGUUGGCUUAGAAGCAGCCAUCAUUUAAAGAAAGCGUAAUAGCUCACUGGUCGAGUCGGCCUGCGCGGAAGAUGUAACGGGGCUAAACCAUGCACCGAAGCUGCGGCAGCGACGCUUAUGCGUUGUUGGGUAGGGGAGCGUUCUGUAAGCCUGUGAAGGUGGCCUGUGAGGGUUGCUGGAGGUAUCAGAAGUGCGAAUGCUGACAUAAGUAACGAUAAAGCGGGUGAAAAGCCCGCUCGCCGGAAGACCAAGGGUUCCUGUCCAACGUUAAUCGGGGCAGGGUGAGUCGACCCCUAAGGCGAGGCCGAAAGGCGUAGUCGAUGGGAAACAGGUUAAUAUUCCUGUACUUGGUGUUACUGCGAAGGGGGGACGGAGAAGGCUAUGUUGGCCGGGCGACGGUUGUCCCGGUUUAAGCGUGUAGGCUGGUUUUCCAGGCAAAUCCGGAAAAUCAAGGCUGAGGCGUGAUGACGAGGCACUACGGUGCUGAAGCGACAAAUGCCCUGCUUCCAGGAAAAGCCUCUAAGCAUCAGGUAACAUCAAAUCGUACCCCAAACCGACACAGGUGGUCAGGUAGAGAAUACCAAGGCGCUUGAGAGAACUCGGGUGAAGGAACUAGGCAAAAUGGUGCCGUAACUUCGGGAGAAGGCACGCUGAUAUGUAGGUGAAGCGACUUGCUCGUGGAGCUGAAAUCAGUCGAAGAUACCAGCUGGCUGCAACUGUUUAUUAAAAACACAGCACUGUGCAAACACGAAAGUGGACGUAUACGGUGUGACGCCUGCCCGGUGCCGGAAGGUUAAUUGAUGGGGUUAGCGGUAACGCGAAGCUCUUGAUCGAAGCCCCGGUAAACGGCGGCCGUAACUAUAACGGUCCUAAGGUAGCGAAAUUCCUUGUCGGGU
RNAcentral lists this ribosomal RNA (1950 nucleotides) under human gut metagenome. RNAcentral's name for it is "bacterial LSU rRNA". It matches the Rfam family "Bacterial large subunit ribosomal RNA", at positions 1 to 1977 of the family's 2925-position model. The record is from RNAcentral.